This 2295-nucleotide ribosomal RNA is filed under the name Campylobacter coli. Its description in RNAcentral is "partial 23S ribosomal RNA". It matches the Rfam family "Bacterial large subunit ribosomal RNA", at positions 1 to 2145 of the family's 2925-position model. Lineage: Bacteria; Pseudomonadati; Campylobacterota; Epsilonproteobacteria; Campylobacterales; Campylobacteraceae. The record is from RNAcentral.
AAAAAAGGUAAGCUACUAAGAGCGAAUGGUGGAUGCCUUGACUGGUAAAGGCGAUGAAGGACGUACUAGACUGCGAUAAGCUACGGGGAGCUGUCAAGAAGCUUUGAUCCGUAGAUUUCCGAAUGGGGCAACCCAAUGUAUAGAGAUAUACAUUACCUAUAUAGGAGCGAACGAGGGGAAUUGAAACAUCUUAGUACCCUCAGGAAAAGAAAUCAAUAGAGAUUGCGUCAGUAGCGGCGAGCGAAAGCGCAAGAGGGCAAACCCAGUGCUUGCACUGGGGGUUGUAGGACUGCAAUGUGCAAGAGGUGAGUUUAGCAGAACAUUCUGGAAAGUAUAGCCAUAGAGGGUGAUAGUCCCGUAUGCGAAAAACAAACCUUAGCUAGCAGUAUCCUGAGUAGGGCGGGACACGAGAAAUCCUGUCUGAAGCUGGGUCGACCACGAUCCAACCCUAAAUACUAAUACCAGAUCGAUAGUGCACAAGUACCGUGAGGGAAAGGUGAAAAGAACUGAGGUGAUCAGAGUGAAAUAGAACCUGAAACCAUUUGCUUACAAUCAUUCAGAGCACUAUGUAGCAAUACAGUGUGAUGGACUGCCUUUUGCAUAAUGAGCCUGCGAGUUGUGGUGUCUGGCAAGGUUAAGCAAACGCGAAGCCGUAGCGAAAGCGAGUCUGAAUAGGGCGCUUAAGUCAGAUGCUGCAGACCCGAAACGAAGUGAUCUAUCCAUGAGCAAGUUGAAGCUAGUGUAAGAACUAGUGGAGGACUGAACCCAUAGGCGUUGAAAAGCCCCGGGAUGACUUGUGGAUAGGGGUGAAAGGCCAAUCAAACUUCGUGAUAGCUGGUUCUCUCCGAAAUAUAUUUAGGUAUAGCGUUGUGUCGUAAUAUAAGGGGGUAGAGCACUGAAUGGGCUAGGGCAUACACCAAUGUACCAAACCCUAUCAAACUCCGAAUACCUUAUAUGUAAUCACAGCAGUCAGGCGGCGAGUGAUAAAAUCCGUCGUCAAGAGGGAAACAACCCAGACUACCAGCUAAGGUCCCUAAAUCUUACUUAAGUGGAAAACGAUGUGAAGUUACUUAAACAACCAGGAGGUUGGCUUAGAAGCAGCCAUCCUUUAAAGAAAGCGUAAUAGCUCACUGGUCUAGUGAUUUUGCGCGGAAAAUAUAACGGGGCUAAAGUAAGUACCGAAGCUGUAGACUUGCGCACAACUUAGAUUAUUUAAGUUUAGAAUAUGAGAAACUAAGUUAUAUGUUUAGUUAUAUUUUUACUGAUUUUUAUAGAGUAAAGAUAGAAAUAAAACUUAGUAAAAUCAGUAAAAAUAUUCUUAGACUAAAGUUAAGUAGUUUAAGUUGUGUGCAAGUGGUAGGAGAGCGUUCUAUUUGCGUCGAAGGUAUACCGGUAAGGAGUGCUGGAGCGAAUAGAAGUGAGCAUGCAGGCAUGAGUAGCGAUAAUUAAUGUGAGAAUCAUUAACGCCGUAAACCCAAGGUUUCCUACGCGAUGCUCGUCAUCGUAGGGUUAGUCGGGUCCUAAGUCGAGUCCGAAAGGGGUAGACGAUGGCAAAUUGGUUAAUAUUCCAAUACCAACAUUAGUGUGCGAUGGAAGGACGCUUAGGGCUAAGGGGGCUAGCGGAUGGAAGUGCUAGUCUAAGGUCGUAGGAGGUUGUACAGGCAAAUCCGUAUAACAAUACUCCGAGAACUGAAAGGCUUUUUGAAGUCUUCGGAUGGAUAGAAGAACCCCUGAUGCCAUCGAGCCAAGAAAAGUUUCUAAGUUUAGCUAAUGUUGCCCGUACCGUAAACCGACACAGGUGGGUGGGAUGAGUAUUCUAAGGCGCGUGGAAGAACUCUCUUUAAGGAACUCUGCAAAAUAGCACCGUAUCUUCGGUAUAAGGUGUGGUUCGCUUCGUAUUAGGAUUUACUCCGAAAGCGAAGAAACUUACAACAAAGAGUCCCUCCCGACUGUUUACCAAAAACACAGCACUCUGCUAACUCGUAAGAGGAUGUAUAGGGUGUGACGCCUGCCCGGUGCUCGAAGGUUAAUUGAUGGGGUUAGCAUUAGCGAAGCUCUUGAUCGAAGCCCGAGUAAACGGCGGCCGUAACUAUAACGGUCCUAAGGUAGCGAAAUUCCUUGUCGGUUAAAUACCGACCUGCAUGAAUGGCGUAACGAGAUGGGAGCUGUCUCAAAGAGGGAUCCAGUGAAAUUGUAGUGGAGGUGAAAAUUCCUCCUACCCGCGGCAAGACGGAAAGACCCCGUGGACCUUUACUACAGCUUGACACUGCUAUUUGGAUAAGAAUGUGCAGGAUA